AUCGGCGACGGUCUUUCUACGGUCAAAGUCAAAACGGUCUUCAGAGCCGUUACCACUCGGACGCCCGCGGCUUGCAUAUAUAUAUAUUUCUCCCCCGCUGUCACUCUCUUAUUCCGCACAUUCCCACAGCGUUCUCCAUCAACGGCCUCUUACCUCUUGAGUGUUCGUUUGAUCAUUACCAGGCAAUCGGAGGAAGAGAGAGCGGAAUCGAAAGAAGUUUCUGGCCGCGUCUCGGUGAUGAAAAACAGAGAAGCAGAGGAGGACGGCGAAUUCUGUACGUCAUUGAGAUUGGUUAUAUGAUAACAGAGGGGGGAAGAACGCAGCAGUUGCUCUUGAUGAAGUGAUUGCUUGGGCAAAAUUAAAGCAAUUGGUCCUGUCAUUGUGGCCGGUGGGAUUUUGGCAUCUGCUAGGAAGACUGGACGGUCCGGUUCAUGUAAAGUUUGUAGCAAACAGGGGUGCAUAAAAUAUAACCACACAAUCCACAGAGAUGGAAAUGGAGGACGUAGAUGAACACAAUAAAGUUGAGGCCAUUCUACAAGGAAUCCAACUCCGGUUGCUACUUUCAACGCUCUAUCAUGUAAGUAAUUUUCUACUUGACAUCAUGAACUACCAUAUGUGUGACUGCAAUGUUAUGGUCCUAAUAAGGUUAGGUUACUAUGUUUAAUCUUUAUUAUGUCUUUGUUUCAAGAGUAAAUGGUUAAACUGCGAUAAAGGAUUGUAAUGAAUGUAGUUGAAAGAGGUUCAUGAGCAAGGAAUUAAGUUACAUUUAUGGGUGUUUUAGGUGUUAGGAAUAGUUUUUCAUUUUUUAUGUUUCAAAGGAAAAGUGAAGCAUUCGUUGAGAUCAAAUGAAAGAAUACAAGAGGAACACUAGAAAACCACCCAAGGAGGAGCCCAAUUGACCUGAAAAAAAUGCUCCAAUCAAACAAAAUAAGACUUAAGGGGAAUUACAAAAAAUUGUAAACAUCCUCCCACACAGACGUGUGAUCUAAUAAGGCUACACCUCACCCCCAAGGUCUUCCAAUCUCUUUAAAAAUCCUCUGGUUUCUUUCAACCUAAAAAUCCCAUAAAAUUGCAGAAAACAACCUCUUCCUCUUGAAAAGGGGAUGAAGAAGAAGCUCUUCCCCCAUGGAACUACAACCUGUAGGUUGGGCAAGACCACAGGAGAGAUGGUUUAGAUCCUCGGUCAUUCCUUACUAAAGAUACAACACUAGGGCCUAAUCUAAAGGGGUGAAUUCCUUUUUGUUUAAAGAGUUCUUGUGAUUCUUUGAAUUGGAGAUCAUGAUUAAGCAACUAAGGAGAUUUAUUUUAAGGCAAGUGAGAAAAAGGGGUUUUAAAGAUUUGCACUACAACAAUAGAUGUGAGUAAAGUACGAUUGGUAAAGUACAACAUUUUAUUUGUUGAGAUUAUGGUUAUGUAUUCAAGGAAUAAGAAAGAUACUUCGUGAGGAAAGAAAGAUUGUAAAGAUCAGCAAAUUGGAUGAAGUUUUAAAAGAAUAGACAAAGAUAUAUCCUUAAGAUUGGAUUGAAUUGGUCUAUAAGCUGUAUAAUGGACAAUCUUUUGGGUUUGUUGAGUUUAAUGAUUGAAGAGUUCUUGCCAUUCUUUUGAUGAAAGAUUAACAAAAGGCGCAUGAAGUGUUAAGAUAAUGCACAUAGACCUUAGAAUUGGCGGUGAGUUUCGAUGGAGAUUCAUAUGAGAAGAUAAAAACAAAGAUUAUGUGCAUAAAAGGGGGAAGAUAGAAAUUGCCAAUGAUUUGUCAUGGAGAUUCAUAUGAGAAGAUAAAAGUGAAGAUUAUGUACAUAAAAAGUGGAAAUACAGAAUUGCCGAUGAUUUAUCGUGGCGAUUCAUAUCAGAAAUUUUUUGUGGAUGGAUGGAUCGUAAAAAGAGGUUUGUGAAAUGUUAAAGGAAGGAAGCACUAGAAUAAAAGAAUUUGGGUAAUUGGUACUAAAGAAAAGUUACUUUCUAUUUGGUUUAUAAGUUAGAUACUAGUCAAUCUCUUAGAUUUUGUGAGUUCGAUGGUUAUGCAUGUAAAAGGAAGGAUAGAAGAUAAAUUUGGAUAUGAGAUUUGUGGGUUAAAAGUGUGAGAUUGGACAACCAAGUUCAUAAUGGACCAUCUUUUAAAUUUUUUGUUGAUGGUUAUGUAUGA
Cucurbita pepo subsp. pepo (vegetable marrow) is the source of this 2143-nucleotide long non-coding RNA. RefSeq lists it as uncharacterized. Lineage: Eukaryota; Viridiplantae; Streptophyta; Magnoliopsida; Cucurbitales; Cucurbitaceae. The record is from RefSeq and is a predicted model, not a curated record.